This 353-nucleotide unclassified non-coding RNA is filed under the name uncultured fungus. Its description in RNAcentral is "partial contains 5.8S ribosomal RNA and internal transcribed spacer 2". The stretch from base 1 to 134 matches the Rfam family "5.8S ribosomal RNA", at positions 22 to 154 of the family's 154-position model. Lineage: Eukaryota; Fungi. The record is from RNAcentral.
UGGUUCUGGCAUCGAUGAAGAACGCAGCGAAAUGCGAUAAGUAAUGCGAAUUGCAGAAUUCCAGUGAGUCAUCGAAUCUUUGAACGCACAUUGCGCCCUUUGGCAUUCCGAAGGGCAUGCCUGUUCGAGCGUCAUUAUCACCCCUCGAGCCCUCGGCUUGGUGUUGGACGGUUUGGUUUUGGUGACAAGACCCCUCCUAAAACUAAUGACGGCGGCCUGUGCGACCCCCGGUACACUGAGCUUCUUAAUUGAGCACGUACCGGCUUUAGGGUUGACGGGGCCCGGUCUUCUCCCUUCAUGGGAAAUCACUUUUUCUAAAGGUUGACCUCGGAUCAGGUAGGGAUACCCGCUGA